Molecule: ribosomal RNA, 119 nt
Filed under: Lupinus angustifolius (narrow-leaved blue lupine)
Lineage: Eukaryota; Viridiplantae; Streptophyta; Magnoliopsida; Fabales; Fabaceae
Source: RNAcentral
AAAUUAACUCAUACCUACACUAAUGCACCGGAUCCCAUCAUAACUCCACAGUCAAGCGUGAUUGGGAGAGAGUAGUACUAGGAUGGGUGACCUCCUGGGAAGUCCUCGUGUUGCACCUC